Molecule: ribosomal RNA, 301 nt
Filed under: uncultured bacterium
Lineage: Bacteria
Description: partial 16S ribosomal RNA
Rfam family: Bacterial small subunit ribosomal RNA
Source: RNAcentral
CAGCAGCCGCGUAAUACAGAGGGUGCGAGCGUUAAUCGGAUUUACUGGGCGUAAAGCGUGCGUAGGCGGCUUCUUAAGUCGGAUGUGAAAUCCCUGAGCUUAACUUAGGAAUUGCAUUCGAUACUGGGAAGCUAGAGUAUGGGAGAGGAUGGUAGAAUUCCAGGUGUAGCGGUGAAAUGCGUAGAGAUCUGGAGGAAUACCGAUGGCGAAGGCAGCCAUCUGGCCUAAUACUGACGCUGAGGUACGAAAGCAUGGGGAGCAAACAGGAUUAGAUACCCCUGUAGUCCCUGUCUCUUAUACA